AAUACAAAAAGUGAAGCUGUUCGAUUACCCACUAACUAAGCUUCUACCAACAAGACUGGGAUUUACUACUACCAUACUUCUCGAUCUCUCGGGGGUGAGCCGUCACCCUACAUCCAGUCUUGACGGAAAACCCGUCAUCACUUGGAAGGAGAUAGCGAGAGUCCUAUUCCUCCUUUACUGCGACCAACUGUACACGAACUGACCUUCCUCCAUUUAGGGACCUGAAAAAUGUUAGCCCACUAAGGGGUGAGAUCACAUCUCAGUGAGUAAAUCCCCUAAAUCCAUAUUAGGAGAAGGGUACACUCAACAUGCAAUCUAAUCGCCUUUCUCACACUUUCUUAAUACCUGUACUUUCCUGCAUGUUAGUGUCAAUUAAAUCAUGCAUAAGAUAUCGAGAUCAUAUAUCAUCAGAAUACUUUUAACACAUACAUAUGUAAGGACAUAAAUGUCACAUACUUACCCGGGCCCCCAAUUACCAAACUAAACCGUUAUAGCAUGUCCCAUACCGCACCACACAGUUCCGUCUUUUAAUUAGGUCCCUCACUUUCACCCAUUCAUGCGUCACAAAUGAUUUCAAUGCUCAAAUAACAGUCUUCCGGCAUAACCGAGCAUUUCAUGUGUCACAAAUUAUUUCAAUGUUCAGAUAACAGUCUUCCGGCAUAACCGGGCAUUUCAUGUGUUACAAAUGAUUUCAAUGCUCAGAUGACAGUCUUCCGGCGUAACCGAGCUUUUCAUGUGUCACAAAUGAUUUCAAUGCUCAGAUGACAGUCUUCUGGUGUAACCAAGCAUCACCUCGCAUUGUCGAGCGCCGCGUCGUCUACAUCUAAACGGCAUUCCAUAUAGGAGCAUCGGUCCAGCCUCCACUGCGAUCGGCAUCCGUUGACGUGG
RNAcentral lists this long non-coding RNA (888 nucleotides) under Eucalyptus grandis. Its description in RNAcentral is "long non-coding RNA (EGRA_LNC002461)". Lineage: Eukaryota; Viridiplantae; Streptophyta; Magnoliopsida; Myrtales; Myrtaceae. The record is from RNAcentral.